GACGAACGCUGGCGGCGUGCUUAACACAUGCAAGUCGAACGGAAAGGCCCUGCUUUUGUGGGGUGCUCGAGUGGCGAACGGGUGAGUAACACGUGAGUAACCUGCCCUUGACUUUGGGAUAACUUCAGGAAACUGGGGCUAAUACCGGAUAGGAGCUCCUGCUGCAUGGUGGGGGUUGGAAAGUUUCGGCGGUUGGGGCUGGACUCGCGGCUUAUCAGCUUGUUGGUGGGGUAGUGGCUUACCAAGGCUUUGACGGGUAGCCGGCCGGGGAGGGUGACCGGCGACAUUGGGACUGAGAUACGGCGCAGACUCGUACGGGAGGCAGCAGUGGGGAAUAUUGCACAAUGGGAGGAAGCCUGAUGCAGCAACGCCGCGUGCGGGAUGACGGCUUUCGGGUUGUAAACCGCUUUCGCCUGUGACGAAGCGUGAGUGACGGUAAUGGGUAAAGAAGCACCGGCUAACUACGUG
This 468-nucleotide ribosomal RNA is filed under the name uncultured bacterium. RNAcentral's name for it is "partial 16S ribosomal RNA". It matches the Rfam family "Bacterial small subunit ribosomal RNA", at positions 28 to 507 of the family's 1533-position model. The record is from RNAcentral.